UGAUACAAUGGGACUCAUAUAUUUCCCUUUACAUUGUCAUGAUUAAAAAAAUGUAGUCUUUUUGACCUAGUUCCUCUUUUGGGUACAUAUGUAUACUCAUGUAUACUUGUAAAUAUAACGAUCAUCGCCGCCACUAUCACCGCUAUUGCCACCACGAUCAACCCCCUCCUUCCAUUCGUGAUGAAACAUAAGAGGCCCGAAAAAGAAUCGGAAAAAAACAAGAAUUUAUUUCUCUUCUUUAGACACCCUGCAAAUCUACAAACAAUAGCCAUAAAGAAAUGUACUAAAAAAAGAAGCUGAUUUCUUAAACGAAAUUUAAUGUAGCAAAGUUUAAUAACUAGGUUAUAGGUUAAAAAUAAAAAAUUAGAGCAUUGAUUUUUCCAUAUAAUAAUAAAUAAUAAGAUUCAAUUCUAUGUUAAAAUCAAGAAUCGCCUACAAAGAAUUAGAAUCUAUAUUAAAAUCGGCAAUGGGCUUUUCCGAAAAUAUACAACUUCAUCAUCAUCAUACUCGGUAAAUCCCAUCAAUAGCACAGCUAAGGUAGUGUUUGAGAAGAGUAAGAUGUACAAAGUCUUACCUCUACGACAUAAGAAUAGAUAUAAGAAUAGAGAUGUUGCUCCCAAUGAGACCUCCGACUCGAAAAUAUAGACCUUAUAUAUAAAAUUAAUAAAUAAUUAAAAACAUUUAACAUCGAAAGUUGUAAAAUAGAAGUCAUACAAAAUACAGAAAAGAGGCACAUGGAUUUUACAAAGAAAUUCUAGAAUUCGAACACAAAAAGAAAAUUCAAAAAUCACAAUAAAAAUGCAUGUAAAAAAUUGUGAGAAAUUUUGAUUUAUUUCCAUAAAAUCCCCUUGAAUUUUUUUCUCAAAUUAUAAUGAGGAACAAGGGUUUUAAAUUUUUGAUAUAACAACUUCUUCCUCAUAAUGAAAAUCAAGAAGUUGGAAAAAAAUCCAGAAACUAUAACCAAAAAUGCUACUAAAAGCCAAGAACAGGUAACAAUGUCUAUUAUAAUUUAUAACCCUUAAAUCAAAACUCAAAAAAAAAAAAGGUUAAAAACUAGAAAUUCGAACAAAAAUGCAAGGAAAACUCAAAAACAUGGAGCUGACAUUAUCAAAUCAAAAUUUGAAACCAUGAAUAAUCAAAAAACAUAAUUAAAAUUGCUGUCACUGUGUCUAAAAUACAAGAAACAAUUGUUUUAAUAGAUGACUAUGAAUGUCACACAACCAAAAAAUUAUUCUGAGGGUCUGCAAGAAGAUCAAAAAAUAAGAAAUUAUAUAAAGAAUUAUGUGAAAAAAAAAUAUGAAAACGUCUCCUGGCGUCGAAGGAAUUGCACGUAUAGAGAAUCACAUUAUGAUAACAGAAUUUGCAAACUUCAACUGGCCCAAUGCCUUUUUGUAAAGUUGAGUUAAAAUUGUAACUUCACAGCAUAAACCAAAAAAGGGAAAUCAUCUCCCAAUUUUCUUACAUACGAUUCGGCAAAACAAAGACGGGUCAGACGGUCAAACAAUGUGAUUACAAAAAAAGAGUUAACUGCCAUUUUAGUCCCUGUGGUUUGGGUCAUUUUGCCAGUUUAGUCCAAAGGUUUCAUUUUUAACCUAUGGGUCCAAAAAGACGAAGAAUAAAUCAACAACGGUGAAGUGGAUAAGGGAUUGGAGAUGUGAAAUUGUGGAGUUAAAUAUGUGUAAUUUGAUGAAAAUGUUGUGAAGAGAAUUAGGGAUUUGAAAAUUUGGGGAAGACGAAUCGUGUGUGUAUGUAGAGAUAUAUUAGAUAC
This 1768-nucleotide long non-coding RNA is filed under the name Helianthus annuus (common sunflower). Its description in RNAcentral is "hypothetical non coding rna". Lineage: Eukaryota; Viridiplantae; Streptophyta; Magnoliopsida; Asterales; Asteraceae. The record is from RNAcentral.